GAUGAACGCUGGCGGCGUGCCUAAUACAUGCAAGUCGAGCGAACAGACGAGGAGUUUGCUCCUCAGACGUUAGCGGCGGACGGGUGAGUAACACGUGGAUAACCUACCUAUAAGACUGGGAUAACUUCGGGAAACCGGAGCUAAUCCCGGAUAAUAUAUUGAACCGCAUGGUUCAAUAGUGAAAGACGGUUUUGCUUUCACUUAUAGAUGGAUCCGCGCCGCAUUAGCUAAUUGGUAAGGUAACGGCUUACCAAGGCAACGAUGCGUAGCCGACCGGAGCGGGUGAUAGGCCACACGGGAACGGAGACACGGUCCAGACUCCUACGGGAGGCAGCAGUAGGGAAUGUGCGGCAAAGGGCGAAAGCCUGACGGAGCAACGCCGCGUGAGUGAUGAAGGUCUUCGGAUGGUAAAGCUCUGCUAUUAGGGAAGAACAAAUGUGUAAGUAGCUAUGCACGUCUUGACGGUACCUAAUCAGAAAGCCACGGCUAACUACGUG
This 497-nucleotide ribosomal RNA is filed under the name uncultured bacterium. RNAcentral's name for it is "partial 16S ribosomal RNA". It matches the Rfam family "Bacterial small subunit ribosomal RNA", at positions 28 to 507 of the family's 1533-position model. The record is from RNAcentral.